GGAUGAACGCUAGCGGGAGGCCUAACACAUGCAAGCCGAGCGGUAGAGUUUCUUCGGAAACUUGAGAGCGGCGCACGGGUGCGUAACACGUGUGCAACCUACCUUUAUCUGGGGGAUAGCCUUUCGAAAGGAAGAUUAAUACCCCAUAAUAUAAUGAUUGGCAUCAAUUAUUAUUGAAAACUCCGGUGGAUAGAGAUGGGCACGCGCAAGAUUAGAUAGUUGGUGAGGUAACGGCUCACCAAGUCAAUGAUCUUUAGGGGUCCUGAGAGGGAGAUCCCCCACACUGGUACUGAGACACGGACCAGACUCCUACGGGAGGCAGCAGUGAGGAAUAUUGGACAAUGGGUGAGAGCCUGAUCCAGCCAUCCCGCGUGAAGGAUGACGGUCCUAUGGAUUGUAAACUUCUUUUGUACAGGGAUAAACCUACCCUCGUGAGGGUAGCUGAAGGUACUGUACGAAUAAGCACCGGCUAACUCCGUG
This 480-nucleotide ribosomal RNA is filed under the name uncultured bacterium. RNAcentral's name for it is "partial 16S ribosomal RNA". It matches the Rfam family "Bacterial small subunit ribosomal RNA", at positions 27 to 507 of the family's 1533-position model. The record is from RNAcentral.